RNAcentral lists this ribosomal RNA (253 nucleotides) under uncultured bacterium. Its description in RNAcentral is "partial 16S ribosomal RNA". It matches the Rfam family "Bacterial small subunit ribosomal RNA", at positions 524 to 776 of the family's 1533-position model. The record is from RNAcentral.
UACGUAGGGUGCGAGCGUUAAUCGGAAUUACUGGGCGUAAAGCGUGCGCAGGCGGUUUUGUAAGACGGAUGUGAAAUCCCCGGGCUUAACCUGGGAAUGGCAUUCGGGACUGCAAGGCUGGAGUGCGGCAGAGGAGACUGGAAUUCCACGUGUAGCAGUGAAAUGCGUAGAGAUGUGGAGGAACACCGAUGGCGAAGGCAGCCCCCUGGGCUAACACUGACGCUCAUGCACGAAAGCGUGGGGAGCAAACAGG